RNAcentral lists this non-coding RNA (222 nucleotides) under Hahella chejuensis. Lineage: Bacteria; Pseudomonadati; Pseudomonadota; Gammaproteobacteria; Oceanospirillales; Hahellaceae. The record is from RNAcentral.
AUAUUGUGCUCCAGCUAUGGUUCACGCCUGUUCACAGGUUGUGCUAAGAGGGAAUCCGGUGAGAGUCCGGUACUGACGCGCAGCGGUGUGGGGGAACGAAAGCGACGCGGGUGAAAACGCCCACGCACUGUCCUGAAAGUGGAUGGGAAGCGGUCGCCGUAGGUUCUAAAAAACGUGUAAACGCCCCCGAGUCCGAAGACCUGCCAUGCUGAAGUUUUCAUG